GUGGGACUGCGCUCGCGCGGCUUCCUAGAGGAGGAGCCAUGGCCCCGCCCCGGGCCCGAGAGAAAAAGUGCACUGCACUUUCGUUUUUUAGCAGCAAAGUUUGUUGAUGUACUUUACCACUUAUCUUUUCUGUUUCUACUCAGGACAGUCAAGACAGUGCUCAGCUAGAUGUUCACAUAACUGUAGACAUAAAUGUGAAUCUAUUUAACGCAGUAAUUAAUUCAAAAAGUGUUUUUAGCAUCCUAGCAUGCAUCAGUGGAUAUGAAAGUAGUAAAUGUUAAUUGAGUGGUCAUGUGCAUCCUGGACUUCUCAUCUGUGCACAUUCUCAUUCUUUGCCUGCAAAGGGCCAGUAAAAGCACAGUGAUGGUUGAACGAAUGUGACAGCCUCCUUUGCUGAUGCCUUACUCCAAGAAAUUAAAUCACCUAACUGAUAUCUUAUGGUCUGAUUGGAACAGGAUUUCAAUAGCAGCCCUGGGAAACUGAUGCCUGGGGGAGCAGAAUGAAGAGAGGAACUAACCUUGCCUGGGAAAGAGGAGGAAAAUGUCACAGGUACCACGAAAGCAGUCUGGAAGAUAGACUGGAGGGAGACAGAACGGAAGAAAAGAUACCAGUUGGCUCAGAAGAUAGAUUCUGGUUGCCUGGACUGGAGCAGAAGCAG
Molecule: long non-coding RNA, 658 nt
Organism: Pongo pygmaeus (Bornean orangutan)
Lineage: Eukaryota; Metazoa; Chordata; Mammalia; Primates; Hominidae
Exons: 4
Source: RefSeq, a predicted model, not a curated record